AUUGAACGCUGGCGGCGUGCUUUACACAUGCAAGUCGAACGGCAGCACGGGUGCUAGCACUUGGUGGCGAGUGGCGAACGGGUGAGUAAUACAUCGAGACGUACCAAGUAGAGGGGGAUAACUAAUCGAAAGAUUGGCUAAUACCGCAUAAUCUCUGAGGAGGAAAGGUGGGGACCAGCAAUGGCCUGUCGUUACUUGAGCGGUCGAUGGUUGAUUAGCUAGUUGGUGGGGUAAGAGCUUACCAAGGCGAUGAUCGAUAGCUGUUCUGAGAGGAAGAUCAGCCACACUGGGACUGAGACACGGCCCAGACUCCUACGGGAGGCAGCAGUGGGGAAUAUUGGACAAUGGGGGCAACCCUGAUCCAGCAACGCCGCGUGAAUGAAGAAGGCCUCGGUUGUAAGU
Molecule: ribosomal RNA, 402 nt
Filed under: uncultured bacterium
Lineage: Bacteria
Description: bacterial SSU rRNA
Rfam family: Bacterial small subunit ribosomal RNA
Source: RNAcentral